This 375-nucleotide non-coding RNA is filed under the name unclassified sequences. Its description in RNAcentral is "HOLDH RNA". It matches the Rfam family "HOLDH RNA". From Rfam's summary of the family: Environmental (human tongue dorsum, human supragingival plaque). The record is from Rfam by way of RNAcentral.
GUUAACUCGUUGAGGUUAGUAUCUAGUCGGGAUAAACUACGGCAUCGGAACUAAAAGAGAGUUGACCUUAUACCAAGUAGCUCUUAGAAUAAUCGGUAGAGGCCGGUAGCGAAAGUAUAAUGAUUCUCCCAAGAUGUGGGCAAGCCUAGCUAGGGAGGUAUCGAAAACUGUUUGUUGAAGUAGCGUAAUUCUCCCUGUGUAAGCUCCCUUACUAAAAGUAAUACAUAAAGAGUUAUGAAAGUUGGGCAGUAUAAAAAUAAUGACCUGUUGCAAAUAACGGAUUAUCCUCGAAAUCGAGCCGUAUGGUCAGACAGACAACUUUAGGGGUAUAUAGAUAGUGCAAUGAGAUAUAACCUAGCAACUUAUAAAAGUUGC